AUUGAAAUAUCUGUUCUCGUUCGAUCACUGAAGUUAAGCAACGUCGAGAAUGGUCAGUACCUAGAUUGGUGACCACUUGGGAAUACCAGGUGCUGUAAG
This is a non-coding RNA of Acanthosepion pharaonis, 99 nucleotides long. NCBI's taxonomy places the organism in Eukaryota, Metazoa, Mollusca, Cephalopoda, Sepiida, Sepiidae. The record is from the annotation of a GenBank genome assembly.